Molecule: long non-coding RNA, 411 nt
Organism: Ostrea edulis (European flat oyster)
Lineage: Eukaryota; Metazoa; Mollusca; Bivalvia; Ostreida; Ostreidae
Exons: 2
Source: RefSeq, a predicted model, not a curated record
GCAAUUGUUGAUCACAGAUUUCGACAGAAAUUCAAAGGAUCAGAGAGAAUUGAUGGUGGAUAUGAUGGGUCAAGUUAACGUUAAGCUCUUAGUCAGGUUUUUGGAAAGAAACAACGGUAUGUUCAUCGUUAGGACUCGCGGUUGUAGCGAUGCAGGAGACGAUUCAAGACAGUAGGACAGAUUUAGACAAAAUGCAGGAUUUUAAUGAAGACUCGCACCGGUACCCUGACAUGAACAUGUAAAUUUUUCGAGCCUCGAAACCAGCCUCGCUUAUGAUCAUGCCGAGUCAUAGCCGUGAUGGAAGUUGCCAGGAAACAACAGGUUAACUUAUCAUCAUAAAGUAAAUAGGCUUAUAACUCUGCCUACAUGUUUUCGCUUCCAAUUAAUAUCAUAGAACUUUUUAAAUUCGCC